RNAcentral lists this ribosomal RNA (965 nucleotides) under Bacilli bacterium. Its description in RNAcentral is "partial 23S ribosomal RNA". It matches the Rfam family "Bacterial large subunit ribosomal RNA", at positions 1945 to 2925 of the family's 2925-position model. Lineage: Bacteria; Bacillati; Bacillota; Bacilli. The record is from RNAcentral.
AGGGUCCUAAGGUAGCGAAAUACCUUGUCAGGUAAAUUCUGACGCGCACGAAUGAUGUAACGACUUUGGAGCUGUCUCAACACCAUAUCCGGCGAAAUUUUAUUAACUGUGAAGAUGCAGUUUACGUCCAACUAGACGGAAAGACCCCAUGAAGCUUUACUGCAACUUAAUAUUGGUUGAUGGCGAUUUAUACAUAGCAUAAAAAGGAGACUGUGAUGCUUAGAUUUCGGUUUAAGCGGAGUCGCCAGUGAAAUACUUUUUUUAAAUUGUUGUUAACCUAACAUAUAUAUUUCAAAAAUAUAGUGGACAGUGUUUGGUGGGCAGUUUGACUGGGGCGGUCUCCUCCUAAAAAGUAACGGAGGAGCCCUAAGGUAUUCUCAGUUUGGUUAGAAAUCAAAUGUAGAGUGUAAAAGCAUAAGAAUGCCUGACCGUGAGACAAAUAAGUCAAACGGAGACGAAAGUCGGGUUUAGUGACCUUACGGUUCUUUUAGUUCGGGCCGUAAAUUAUCAGAUAAAAGCUACUCUGGGGAUAACAGGCUGGUGCUGCUCGAGAGUUCAUAUCGACGGCAGAGUUCGGCACCUCGAUGUCGGCUCAUCAUAUCCUGGAGGGGCAGUACCUUCCAAGGGUUUGGCUGUUCGCCAAUUAAAAUGGUACGUGAGCUGGGUUCAAACCGUCGUGAGACAGGUUGGUCCCUAUCUGUUGGAUGUGCAGGAAGUCUGAGAGGAUUCGUUUUUCGUACGAGAGGACUAAAACGAGUGUAGCAAUGGUGCACAAGUUGUCACGCUAGUGGCACAGCUUGGCAGCUACCUACAUAUCAGAUAAAUGCUGAAAGCAUAUAAGCAUGAAACUGUCCUCAAAACGAGACUUCUAAGAACACUUCAAGAACAGAAGUUUGAUAGGCUGGGAGUGUAAGUAUAGUAAUAUAUUUAGCUUGCCAGUACUAAUAGUUCGUAGGUUUUAUUUU